AAGCUGGAACGGUAGAUGGCGCUUGAAUAGAAAAAGAUGGUUUCAAAAGAUGCAUUCUUGACUGCAACGAAGGGUACAGUCCAAGUGGAUGCCAUGUUAUCAGGAAAGAUAGCUAUGGAGAAUGGAAUCACAAUAUAUCAUAAUGUGUUGAGGUCGAGUGGUUCAAUAAGAAAAUAGUGGCAUGUUACACAGCGAUCGCUGCAGCUAUAGCCGCAUCUCCUUACCUUCUAGGCACUGCAGGAUUUACCACUGUUGGAAUUGCAGCCGGUUCACUUGCAGCCACAUGGAUGUCCUAUAUUGGCAUUGUUUCUAAGGGUAGUUUAUUUGCGUCGCUUCAAAGUCUUGGUAUGGCUGGUAUAAGUAAAGCGGCGAUUCUAAAGGUCUUAGGUUCUGGUGCAGCUGUUUGUAAUGGUAUCAUAGACAUAUUCUCAGACAAUCCUUGUGAAACAGAAUGAAACUUUACCGAUAUAUGGUGAUUUGGCGAAGAACAUAUGAUUUGCUGAUAAAAUCUUUAGAUUUUGUUGCUUAAAAAAAAGAGAAAGAAACAAACAAACAAACUGUCAUACACUUUUUUUAAAAUUUAUUUUGUAAUGUUCAACAGUAUAUUUAUCGAAGCGGCAAUUUAAACACGUAUCUCGAAGAUAACAAUGUACAUGAUAAUCUUAUCUUUUUAGUGGUGAUUCGAUAACAGUGUUGUAAAUAUUUUCCUAUAACAACGAUAGUUUAAUGUUUGAUAUAAGUGUAGAUUUUAAUGGAUUUUAAUGAUCAGAUUAAAGUUUUGUCUCAUC
Long non-coding RNA from Ruditapes philippinarum (Manila clam), 788 nucleotides. RefSeq lists it as uncharacterized. The record is from RefSeq and is a predicted model, not a curated record. The transcript is spliced from 3 exons. NCBI's taxonomy places the organism in Eukaryota, Metazoa, Mollusca, Bivalvia, Venerida, Veneridae.